RNAcentral lists this long non-coding RNA (6653 nucleotides) under Octopus vulgaris (common octopus). Lineage: Eukaryota; Metazoa; Mollusca; Cephalopoda; Octopoda; Octopodidae. The record is from RNAcentral.
CCCUACACGUCUAUACUCAAGUAGUCCCGCCUCUUCGUCUGUGCCAUAAGAGAAGCUUGUGUCAGUGGCUGACGUUGUUUACCAAAACUGAAGAAUUACGUCUGGAAAUCUUUCGGCUUUGGCUGCAGAAGCGUCGAAUUUGAUCAGCGGAUUGUUCGUAAAUUCCCGUAAAAAAUUAUUUUAUUUUCUUUUAUUUUGAUGAUGAGUGGAAGGCGAUAUUUGCUUCUGAGAGGAGAAAGUGAAAGAUGUGUGUCCCUGUUUAUGAAAGAUAACGGAUGUACGCGCAAUCACGCCAUAUUCAGUGUAUCUACUUGUAGUUAGUCACACCCAAACACACAUCUACACUCAUUAUCUUUCAUAUACAUCAGACAGUUUUUGCUCCAUUCUAGCAAAAACUGUCUGAUGAACGGCAACGAGAAACUCAGAGUAACAGAUUUUGUUGAAUUUUCUGCUGCUUUAAAUAAAGCAUAUUACUCUACCACUGGUAUUUGAGUACUCUUUUUUCCACCUUGUUUCACAUUUAUGUGUUUACUCCGGUAUAUAUAUAUAUAUAUAUAUAUAUAUAUAUAUAUAUAUAUAUAAAUUUUAGGGUAGCAAAAAAUUCUAGAAAAAAAUUCUCCGCUACCAGCAGUCAAGUGAGAGAGAAAACAUAGUCAAUAGACUCUGUAAUAUACAUUCAGGCAUAUAAGGAAUGGUCAUAAUAGGACAUCCGACUCACUAGAAAGAGCAGUUAAACUCCAAACCACUAAUAGUUGUAAUUCUGAAAUGGAAAGAGAAAUAAAAGGGUAAACGUUUUGGCGAUCUUUCGUCUCUAGUAGACCUUUCCGUCGAUUUCCGUAAAAAAAAUUUUUUUUUUACAUAUGGGCUUGCGGGAACUUUUGAAGUAAUAUACAUACAUAUACACAUACACCGAGUACAAAAUUUCAGUUAUCUCUUUCUUUCACACAUUACUCUCUCUGUCUCUUCACACACACUAACAGAAGCACUUCACUUACACGACAUACUGUCUGUCUCACACACCCCAUCAAACACACACACACAUGUACAUCAAUGCUUCGGUAACUUCAAAAGAACUUCCCUCGUCAUACAAUCGCUUUCUCUUAGUCUCUUUCGCUCUCAUUACUUCAAAAGUUCCCGCAAGCCCAUAUGUAAAAAAAAAUUUUUUACGGAAAUCGACGGAAAGGUCUACUAGAGAUGAAAGAUCGCCAAAACGUUUACCCUUUUAUCUCUCUUUCCAUUUCAGAAUUACAACUAUUAGUGGUUUGGAGUUUAACUGCUCUUUCUAGUGAGUCGGAUGUCCUAUUAUGGCCAUGCCUUAUAUGUUUGCAAUUAUAUAUAUAUAUAAAACUUAGAACUUAGAUAGAUGUUUCGACCAAGGAUUGGUCCAGGCCAUGUCUAACUUAAUAGCACCACCUGAUAGGAUUAUCUAAAUCCUGUUUGAGUCAAGUUUUGUUCAAGUAGUGAGUUCUUGUUGGGUGAGUUGUAUCCAAUUAUGGGUGGCUUAUCUGGUAUUCUUUGAAGGAAUCUAUCCAGACUCCGUUUAAAGUUGAUGGGAUCCUUUUCCUCUUUGAUCUCCCUCGGGACAAUGUUAAAUAGGGCAGGGCCUGUUGAGGAAAAGAAAUUAUGUUGCAGUGUAUAUAUAUAUAUAUAUAUAUAUAUAUUAAUUUAUCUCCCUCAUUAUUUAUAUAUAUAUAUAUCGACUACUUACUUGGACGAUGAAACCGUCCAGCACGCUUUUGUACAUUGUCGGCAGCUGUCAAGCUUCAUAAGUUACGCAGAAUACGUGUUAUCGCAUCUGGGACGAGUACAGCUGUCGGCUGAGUCUAUAAUUAAGAUGAUACCUAUUUAGUCUAUAAUUAAGAUGAUACCUAUUUAGUCUAUAAUUAAGAUGAUACCUAUUUAGUCUAUAAUUAAGAUGAUACCUAUUUAGUCUAUAAUUAAGAUGAUACCUAUUUAGUCUAUAAUUAAGAUGAUACCUAUUUAGUCUAUAAUUAAGAUGAUAUCUAUUUCUUUAUUACCCACAAGGGGCUAAACAUAGAGGGGACAAACAAGAACAGACAUAGGUAUUAAGUCGAUUACAUCGACUCCAGUGCGUAACUGGUACUUAAUUUAUCGACCCCGAAAGGAUGAUAGGCAGGCACUAGUCGUGAAGACUGGACCCUGUACGCGCAUCCGCGCUAGCUAGUCGCCAAAAAAUUAUUUACUUUGUUCGACAUAAAAGGUCAGAAGUCUAAACACUUCAGCAUCAUAAAUUUCCCAGAACUAAAUAAUACCACUUGACAUUUGAACUGUACCUACUUAAUAUAGAGUGUAGAAUUCACGUACGCAUGCUUUUAUGUAUGUAUGCAUGCACACACACACACAUACACACAUUGUGUACGCUCAACCUUAAGGCUAACUUUCCACUAAAAUUUCCUUCUAAAAAUUCUUGUGGCCAAAUAUUAUGUUAUCUAUUCUCUUUUACUCUUUUACUUCUUUCAGUCAUUUGACUGAGGCCAUGCUGGAGCACCGCCUUCAGUUGAGCAAAUCGACCCCUGGACUUAUUCUUCGUAAGCACAGUACUUAUUCUAUCGGUCUCUUUUGCUGAACCACUAAGUUACAGGAACAUAAACACACCAGCAUCGGUUGUCAAUCUAUGUUGGGGGGACAAACACAGACACACAAACAUACACAUAUAUAUAUAUAUAUAUAUGACAGGCUUCUUUCAGUUUCCGUCUACCAAAUCCACUCACAAGGCUUUGGUCAACAUGGGGCCACUUGCCCAAGGUGUCACACAGUGGGACUGAACCCGGAACCAUGUGGUUGGUAAACAAGCUACUUACCACACAGCCACUCCUACACCUACAUAUAUACGACAGGCUUCUUUCAGUUUCCGUCUACCAAAUCCACUCACAAGGCUUUGAUCGGCCCGAGGCCAUAGUAGAAGACACUUGCCCAAGGUGCCACGCAGUGGGACUGAACCCGGAACCAUGUGGCUGGUAAACAAGUUACUUACCACACAGCCACCCCUGCACCUAUUCGUGUAUGUAGUUUUAAUUUAGAAUGGAUCGCUUGAAAUAAUUAAGAAUAAGACUGUUAAUUAGCUUAUUUUAAUUAAGUAAUGUAAACGUUUUAUAAAAUAUAUUUAUGGUAUUUCAUUAUCGUUAUUUCAAUCAGUCAUCAUCAUUAAUUUUAACAGCUUGAAAUAAUUAAGAAUAAGAUUGUUAAUUAGGUUUAUUUUGCAGCUUAUUUCUUUAAGCGAUUUAGGAUGGCUGUGUGGUAAGAAGCUUGCAUUCCAGCCACAUUGGUUCGGUCACACUGCGUGGCGCUUAGAUCAGGUGUUUGCUACUAAAACCAUGGGGCACUCAAAGCCUUGUGAGUGGAUUUGGUAGAAAGAAAAUGAAAGAAGCCUGUCACGAGUAUAUGUGUGUAUAUACAUAUAUAUAUAGAUAUAUACAAAAUAAGAAAAAUCAAAAUCAAAAAUCAAAAUCGAUCAACAUGAAUGGCAAUUGUAGCUGUGAUACCAGUGCCGGUGGCACAUAAGAGAACCAUCCGAACGUGGCUGUUGCCAGCGCCGUCCCGACUGGCCUCUGUGCUGGUGGCACGUAAAAAGCACCAUCCGAUCGUGGCCGUUUGCCAGCCUCGCCUGGCCUCCGUGCCAGUGGCAUGCCAGAUCGUGGCCGUUUGCCAGCCGCACUUCGCCUCCGUGCCCUCCGUGCCAGUGGCACGUAAAAAGCACCCACUACACUCACAGAGUGGUUGGCGUUGGGAAGGGCAUCCAGCUGUAGAAACAUUGCCAGAUCAGACUGGGCCUGGUGCAGCCUUCUGGCUUCCCAGACCCCAGUUGCACCGUCCAACCCAUGCCAGCAUGGAAAGCGGACGCUAAAUGAUGAUGAUGAUGAGGAGGAGGAAUAGAUUCCUUAGAAUCAUCAUCUUACAGAUAAUACCAAUUCAUAUAAUUUAUUAACUAAUUAAAUAGGAACAUCCAAAUCCAACAGAGUAAAACAGAAUAAAACAAUAUACAUCAAUGAGAUUAUACCAUAAAAAUAAUACAUAUAAAAUGGAUCUUACAGCUGUUUCAGCCUGUAGAUAAGGGUAUCUCAUUAUGCCCAUAUUAGUCAGAUGUAUUGAGGUAAUAUGCAGUUAAAAAUGAGUUACUUAUAUAUAUAUAUCUCAAGGCCUAGGCUGAAACAGCUUUAAGAUCCAUUUUAUGUGUAUUAUUUUUAUGGUAUUAUCUUACUUAUAGAUGUAUAUUGUUUUAUUCUGUCUUAUUCUGUUGGAUUUGGAUGUUCCUAUUUAAUUAGUUAAUAAAUUAUAUGAAUUGGUAUUAUCUGGAAGUUGAUGAUUGAAAGAAAUCUAUUCCUCCAUUUUCUUAUUUUGUAUUAUGAAUUUCAGGUAAAACAUUUUACCUUCGCCCAUAUAAUACAAUAAAUGAAUUGCAUUGCAAUUCUUAGCAUUUUCUGGGUACUUUACUGGCAGUAUAUUGGAUAAAUGAUAUCCCAUAGUGGGUUACACUCAUAACCCCUAUCUCACUCUGUACUAUAUCUUUAUAUAUAAAAGAGAGGUUGUGUGCUGUCUGUCUCCUAUGAUUUAGAUUCCUAACUACUCCCACAUUUUGCGGUGCAGUUUAACCAAAACCGGGUAUCUUAUAGUCAUGAUUCAUAUCAAGCCCUUCUGGGUAUUAGCACGCGUCCACGAUUUAAAAAAAAAUUUACCAUCAUUUUUUUCCAUUUUAAUGCAUUUUUUUCGCUAUUAUAUAAGGGAAGUAACUCUCUAAAAAUGUCUACGAUGAGUCAACGAUUUAAAAAAAAAUUUACCAUCAUUUUUUUUCCAUUUUUAAUGCAUUUUUUGGCUAUUUUUUUGGCUAUAACUCUCUAAAAAUGCUUAUAUAGUUAUUUCCCUUACAAACCCGAGCAACGCCAGGCGAUACUGCUAGUAUAUAUAUAUAUAUAUUUACACGAUAGGCUCUUUUCAGUUUCUAUGUGUGUGUGUGUGUUUAUCUUUGGUCUCUGUUUAAUCAUCCUGUCCCCACUUGUCAGCAGGUGUUGAUGUGAUAAGGUCCCCCUAAUUUAGUGUUUCGGCAAAAAGAUAUCAAUACAAUUAGUUCUAGGCUUAAAAAUAAGUCCUGGGGUCAAUUUGUUUGACUAAAUCGCUUUGAGAUGACGCUCCAGCAUGGCCACAGUCAAAUUGCUGAAAGACGUAAAGGCAUAUCUACACAAGUUGUGGUGCACCUGAGCACUGUAUACAAUAAUUUCAUUAUAUUUAAGUGCACCCCCCCCCCAUGUCCAUACACCUUUCUUUCCUCAUAUCGUCCAGAAAAAUGAAUAUUCUUUUAAAGGAAAUUUGCAACAAAUAUGCUUCAGAUGUUGUAGAUUACAAUUAUAUUGAAAUCUAUUCUAAAAAAAAAAAAAAAAUUGAUGGGCACAGGAGUGGCUGUGUGGUAAGUAGCUUGCUUACUAACCACAUGGUUCCGGGUUCAGUCCCACUGCAUGGCAUCUUGGGCAAGUGUCUUCUGCUAUAGCCUCGGGCCGACCAAUGCCUUGUGAGUGGAUUUGGUAGACGGAAACUGAAAGAAGCCUGUCGUAUAUAUGUGUGUGUUUGUGUGUCUGUGUUUGUCCCCCUAGCAUUGCUUGACAACCGAUGCUGGUGUGUUUACAUCCCCGUAACUUAGCAGUUCGGCAAAAGAGACCGAUAGAAUAAGUACUGGGCUUACAAAGAAUAACUCCUGGGGUCGAUUUGCUUGAUUAAAGGCGGUGCUCCAGCAUGGUCGCAGUCAAAUGACUGAAACAAGUAAAAGAGUAAAAAGAGUAAACCUAGCGGUUCGGCAUAAGAGACCGAUAGAAUAAGUACUGGGCUUACAAAGAAUAAGUCCUGGGGUUGAUUUGCUCGAUUAAAGGCGGUGCUCCAGCAUGGCCGCAGUCAAAUGACUGAAACAAGCAAAAGAGAAAGAGAUGGGUUUGCACACACACACACACACACAUACUGACAGAUAACAUUUUUCUAUCAAAAUUUCAAGUUUCAAUUCACGAUGUGUAUGUAAUUAAGUAUGUGUGUGAGCCCACAAAUUUUGUUUACAUAUUAAAUUCUGGUAUAAUCGUCACCUUCACAAUCCGAAUAAUAUUUGUAGAAAAUUCCACUAAAGAAAUAUCCAUUUUUCCAAAAAUUAUGAGGAAAUAAAACCAACUGAUGUGAAUUUUCCAAAACUUUUCACCCAACCCUCGGAAAACUUUUUCACAACAAAUUCCAAUACAUCCAUUAAUAUCCAUUUGUCAGAAAGUUAUGAGUAAAGAAAGGUUUGUGAUUUAAGGGAGAUCUGCCUGUUGUUUCUAACACAUCCCACAACCACCUUUCUUGUUUCUUCCUCACUCUAACAUGUAUUCAUGUUUUUCAAUAUUUUUGUCCCCAUCAAAGCAUUUAUGCUGUUAAAACAAAUUGGUUUUAAAAUUUGAUUUUUGGUAGAAUUCUGGUUUAAGAACCCCAUAUAACCCCUCAUAACCUUUUUUAACUUUUUGGAAUAAAAAAAAAAAAUUCAGUACAUUUUCAGUAAAAUAUUCAAAACUAAAGUUUUUCAAUUUUAUAUUUCAGCUUAUGUAGAGAAACUAAGUUCCUUUUGUUGCUUGUAUUUCCCAGUUGAUUCUUGAAAAUUUCCAUUGCAUCAAGCCAUAUGUACAAGG